Molecule: long non-coding RNA, 3042 nt
Organism: Parus major (Great Tit)
Lineage: Eukaryota; Metazoa; Chordata; Aves; Passeriformes; Paridae
Exons: 2
Source: RefSeq, a predicted model, not a curated record
GGCUGAACCCCCACAGCUGCUCCUGGUGUUCCAGACCCCUCCCCAGCUGUUGCCCUUCUCUGGACACACUCCAGUGCCUCAGUGUCUUUCUUGGACUAAGGAGCCACCCCAGGAUUUGAGGUGGGGCCUCACCAGUGCCCACCACAGGGAGAUGGUCACAGCCUUGGUCCUGCUGGCCACAGUAUGCCUUGUAUAGAUCAGGUGUCAUUGGCCUCCUUGGCCAUUGGCUUGUGUGCAGCCACUGCUGACCAGCACUACCAGGUCCUUCUCCACCUGGCAGCUUUCAGAGCAGGCAGAACUGUUAUUUGGACAGGAGCUGGGAAAAGGGAGGCAGACCUGCAGGUCCCCCCCUUGUAUGGCUCUGCAGAGGAAUCAGUGUGAUGAGCUGCAUGAGGAUAAUAAAGACCACACAUGCAGUCUGAGCAGUCCUGGGAGGAAGUGAGGGUGGACAGCAACUCACUGGCACAGGAAAGCUGCUCCCAUACACAGCACCUCCUGGGCAGCCUCAGCACUCAAACCCAGCCACGUGCCAGGCUCUCCCCAGUCCAAGCAGGACACGGCUGUCUAGUGACACAGCACUCAGAAGAGUGUCAAAUGACCCCAUAUGGACCAAGUUCCCUCUAGCAGCAAGCCCAGAGCACCCCAUUCACUGCAACAGGACAUACUGGGGCACUUUUGAGCAUUUUUUGAAGCUCAGGCAGAUAGGUAUUUUACUACAUCUUUAUUUAUAUUCCUUGUGACUUUUGAAACUCCUUCCUCCUCCCCAAGAUGGGAGACAAACAUACAAAGGCAGGAAGCAAAUUAAUUUCCUUUUGAAGUAGUUGAUUUACUUAGCCAAUAUGGACUGACACAGUAACAAAAUAGAACACAAUAAGCCACUCUAAGGGUGCAGAAUUUCUGGGACAGCAACACACUGGUGUGUAUGGGACUUGAAAUAAAUUUUGCAAACAAUCCAUAAAGUAGUCAGGAAGACUAGACAUUUUUUCUAGGGAAAACUAACAAGUAAGCAUGGGAAAACAACAAAAGCACAAGUUGGUCUUCUUACAGCAGCUUCCACACUGCAAUAAUGUCUGAGACUGAAAGGAAAGAGGCAGAGGUGGCUACUUGCUGCCAACUGGGCUAUGAGCUGAGUCCUAGAUCCUGCUUGAAACAACUUCUCUCUGCUUGUGUGACAGAAUUCUGGGUACAACCAUACUUCUUUGUCCUCCAGCACAAUCCUGAGGCUUUUCCAGAUACUGGGAUCAGCAGGGUUGUGGAAGGGAGCUCAUUUCUUAGAGCCACACCAGGGCUAUGGGAUGAUGAGAAGCUGAGCUUUGGGUGCUGCAGUGCCCGUGAAGCCAUGAAGAUUGGUAAGCCCAGGUGAUGGAAGGCAGGAGGGGAGUAGGCAGUAAAAGGCACCAGGACAUCAUCAUUUUGGCUUCCUCUGGAAGCCAAAAGCAGAACUCAAAGCAUAUCAAAACAGUCUCUCAGCCUGUCCAUCCCAGCACCUGCUGCUCCAAAUAUCUCAAAGCUGGGCUGUACUCUGCCCCUUGGCACCUAGGGGAGUGGACAGAAGAGGGACUCUCCCAGCAGUACUCAGCACCUUGCAGUCUGUCUGGGGGCUUGUAAAUGGGUGUUUUAAAAAUUAGCUUUCAUUGAUUCUUACAGCUGACUUACCCUGGCAUGGCUGUAACGUGGUGUGUCCACGGCCAUGCGGUGUCAGCCCAUUUCACAAGCACACCCCAUGCAGCACUGGAGGGACCAGCACUCUCCAGCCAGCACAUGCUCAUAUCUCUCCCUGCCAUGCACCUGGACCACUCGCUCUAGUGGGCCUGAGUCAGAACCAGUGUGACUUGCCAGUCUCAGCAGCUGACCCUGCCAGAGUUCCCUAUGUGUUUCACUGCUACAGCAUGUUGUCAAGCCAUAGCACCACAAAAAUAUUUAGCUGCAUUACAAAACAUCCCACAUGCUUUCUGCCCACCAAGCAAUUACCCUAUGGCUUCUCAGGUGCCUGUUGAUUUUCCUUCCACUGCUGACAUGGUGCCUGACUAUAAAAGCCAGAAAAAAACUACAUAAACUUGGUCACAACAGCACUAUUAGCCCUGUCCCUGUCCUGAGAAAUGUGCUGAAUCAAAAAAAUACAGAUGAGCAACUUCAGAUGACCAACUCUCACAUCCCUUCUCUGGGCCUGCACCAAAACCUUUCUGCAGGCCAUCAAGCUCCAUAGGCAGCCCUAGCAGUAUGGUCCUAUUUCCUUCACCAAGGUGGGAAGGGAUAUUUUCUGACAGAGUACCCAGAAUUCAGGAAGCCAAGACCCAGAAAUGCCCCUAGCCCUGCAAGUAGUUAAAUGCUGCAGCACAAAGCUCCCCCUCCUCAUCCUCCUUUCCACAACUACCAAUGCUCCAAAAACCUCUACAAACCAAAUCUCUCCUUGUAUGGGCAUGAAAGCUUUCCCUACAGCCUCAGCUGCUAGGAAAUACAGGGCUCUGAGCUGCCCCAAGAGAUUCAGGAGCAUUAGAAAUGACGGACAGGAGAGAACAGACCCAAGCAGUGCUGCAGGUCACUGAGACAGUUUCCUCCAGAGCAGCAUGUGCUUCCAUAGCUGGUGGAACCAUGGCAAAUGCCACAACACAACACAAGCCAAUACAGGAUCACAGCACUGCCAGCAGCUGUACCUCAGAGAAAGCUCACUGGUCUUCUGGAUGAGCACAGCACAGCCACAGCCAGGGCUGGACAAAGUGGUAAAGAUGGACAGAGCAGUGUCCAGGACUGCACAGAGAAGCACCAAGAGGAUCUCAUGGUGGACCUGUGACCAGCAUCUCCAGGGACAUCUCUGCAGUGCUUCCCACAGCCACAGAGGUGCAGGAGACUCAGGAGACGAAGCAGAAGGACUUCACAUGAUAGACCCAUGGGAGGUGUCCCCUACUCUAGUGUGACCCGCAGUUAAGCAGCUCCUCAGAGAAUUUCAAAGACAUUUUGUUGCAUGUGACAUUGUGUUUGAAAGUUGUACUUUCAAGAGACAAAAAAAAAAUCCACUCACAAAAAAUAUCCAGUUUGAGCAAA